UUCGUUUUCAAUUGUUCGCCAUUCAAUGAGACUGAAAGUGAUAAUGGGCAGCCAACAAUAGCAACAACAGCAACAACGAGUCAACAGUCAACAUAAUAUAAUUAAAGCUGCAACAACAAUAGUAACAAGAAGAGUGCGCGACAUUACCAUUUAAUUGCAAGCAUUUAGUCAGCAUUUAACUUUGCAUAAAACUUACUCACACACACACACAUGCUCAUAGACAAAAGCUCUCUGCUCUUUCGAUCCCACGCUUAACAUUAACAUUGCCAUAACAGCAGCAUUAACAGCAAUCGCGGCUCAACAGCAGCUUCCAUUUUAGUCAGUGAUUUGCCCUUUUUGCAAUGCAAGCAAAAAGAAAGGAAAAGAAAAAGAAAAUCAAAGCGAAAGAAAUGCACUUUCGAUUUCCAGUUGUUAACAUUAUCGAGAUGUCUGCGGGAAUAAUAAAAUCCAACUAAUUGUGAUAAUUAAACGUGCGUUACAACUAUUAUGUGUUAUUGUUAAUGGAUUUAAUAAGCUUCGAAUUGCGGCGUCUGACAUGUCAAGGUCUCUGGAUCCUACAUCUAUAAUCUACUGUCGAGACGCAAACAAAGUUAAAUGAAACAUAGUAAAGAGUGAAAUGAUUAUAUGAAUGUGGAUUUCAACAAACAAAUUUAAUAAGGAUCAAGUGAGUUAAGGUGCAAGUGAAAUAUGGCAUCAUUAAUAAAUUGAAAAGGAAUUGAAGUGAGUGAAAGUGAAAUAUCAUAAGAAUAAAGUGAGUAAGAAGAAGGAUUAAGUUAGUAAAAAUAUAUGUGACAGUGCAGUGUAUAGAAAGAAGUGUUAUUAUUAUUGAAAAAUGUAAUAAAAAUAAAGUAAAUGUAUAAAAGUGGCAUUAUUAACAAAUUCAAUAAUAAAGUGAAAGAAAGUGCAAGUGAAAAGUGUUUAUAUAUAUAAGUGUUCUUAUUAUUAUUAAAUGUAAUAAGGAUAAAAGUGAGUGAAAGUGAAUUAGUGAUAAUUGUGGCUAAAAUAUAAAACAACGCAAUCAGAAGGCAGUUGGCAGUUGGCAGUUGGCUGUUUGAGUUGAGUUCGACAGUUACAUUUGUCAGUUUGGGCGAUCAAAGGAGCCGCGACUGAUAACGGAUGUUGUGGAUAUGCAUGGAUGUGGAUAUUGCUGCGCUGAUACGUUGUGAAUGUAUGUGGGAAUAUUUUAAACGUAUUCAAUACCAAAAUUAUUCAAUUGAGAAGUAUCUUUGAAGUCUUUGUUAUGCGGCUGUAAAGUGUCUACUAUGCAUCAUCGCUUUGGCUCACAUCAUGAAAAACUAAAGGCAGCUACUGUGUACCAUAUAUGUAAUGUUUGUUUUUAAUUUCCUAAAAUGUAUUAAGCUAAAAUUAUUAAAUUGUGAAAUAAUAAAAAUAAAUAAAAAAAGCAAAAA
Drosophila nasuta is the source of this 1409-nucleotide long non-coding RNA. RefSeq lists it as uncharacterized. Lineage: Eukaryota; Metazoa; Arthropoda; Insecta; Diptera; Drosophilidae. The record is from RefSeq and is a predicted model, not a curated record. The transcript is spliced from 6 exons.